AGGCUUUGUGCUUGCAGAUUCUAACUUGGAGGAUUAAAUAAUAUGCUGCCUUGAUACAGGUUUUAUGCAUACCAUUAUGUGAUCCCUUCGUGCUGAUUGAUUAUAAAUGAAAUGACAAAUCAUUUUCUCUUAACAGACAAAACACAUUCAAAUUUAAAAUAGCCUAUCAACAAUAUAAAUUUGAAAGUAUAUUAAUGAAGAAUGAGAGUAAAGUUGUUUCCUCCAAUCCUAAUAUAGCGAAGUCAUUCUCCAUCAGACAGCAAAAUUACUG
RNAcentral lists this unclassified non-coding RNA (271 nucleotides) under Hevea brasiliensis (rubber tree). Lineage: Eukaryota; Viridiplantae; Streptophyta; Magnoliopsida; Malpighiales; Euphorbiaceae. The record is from RNAcentral.